UCGAGAAUCUUCGGCAAUGGGCGCAAGCCUGACCGAGCGACGCCGCGUGCGGGAUGAAGGCCCUUGGGUUGUAAACCGCUGUCAGGGGGGAGCAAGGCGCAAGCUUGAGCGAGCCCCAAAGGAAGCACGGGCUAAGUUCGUGCCAGCAGCCGCGGUAAUACGAACUGGGCGAACGUUAUUCGGAAUCACUGGGCUUACAGGGUGCGUAGGCGGCUCUUCAGGUCAGGUGGGAAAUCCCCCGGCUCAACC
This 249-nucleotide ribosomal RNA is filed under the name uncultured Planctomyces sp. RNAcentral's name for it is "partial 16S ribosomal RNA". It matches the Rfam family "Bacterial small subunit ribosomal RNA", at positions 355 to 614 of the family's 1533-position model. Lineage: Bacteria; Pseudomonadati; Planctomycetota; Planctomycetia; Planctomycetales; Planctomycetaceae. The record is from RNAcentral.